This 449-nucleotide ribosomal RNA is filed under the name uncultured bacterium. Its description in RNAcentral is "partial 16S ribosomal RNA". It matches the Rfam family "Bacterial small subunit ribosomal RNA", at positions 338 to 795 of the family's 1533-position model. The record is from RNAcentral.
CCUACGGGGGGCUGCAGUGGGGAAUUUUGGACAAUGGGCGCAAGCCUGAUCCAGCCAUUCCGCGUGAGUGAAGAAGGCCUUCGGGUUGUAAAGCUCUUUCGCAAGGGAAGAAAACUUAUCCUCUAACAUAGGAUGAGGUUGACGGUACCUUGAUAAGAAGCACCGGCUAACUACGUGCCAGCAGCCGCGGCAAUACGUACGGUGCGAGCGGUAAUCGGAAUUACUGGGCGUAAAGUGUGAGCAGGCUGUGAAAUCACCUAGCUCAACUUUGGAACUGCGUUUGAAACUACAAGACUAGAAUAGGUCAGAGGGGGGUAGAAUUCCACGUGUAGCAGUGAAAUGCGUAGAGAUGUGGAGGAAUAUCAAUGGCGAAGGCAGCCCCCUGGGAUCAUAUUGACGCUCAUGCACGAAAGCGUGGGGAGCAAACAGGAUUAGAUACCCUUGUAGUC